UAUGAUGUAGCUCAAUGGUACAGCGCUUGUCUACAAUGUGUGAGGCCCUGGGUUUAAAUCUCAGGAUCACAA
RNAcentral lists this transfer RNA (72 nucleotides) under Heterocephalus glaber (naked mole-rat). It matches the Rfam family "tRNA". From Rfam's summary of the family: Transfer RNA (tRNA) molecules are approximately 80 nucleotides in length. Their secondary structure includes four short double-helical elements and three loops (D, anti-codon, and T loops). Lineage: Eukaryota; Metazoa; Chordata; Mammalia; Rodentia; Bathyergidae. The record is from Rfam by way of RNAcentral.